ACAGCUUCCAGCAUGUGUUGUGAAACAUUUCUUCUAAUUUCUAAAAUUGAAACAAUUACUAUGAUCUACAAAAUUUGAAGAACAACUAUGAAUCAAUAAUUUACUGCUAUAAUCAACAAAGGAUAAAUUAACUUCAUCUGACACAUGCUGAAUAAUCUACAUAAAUAUGAUUGCAAGUCAUGGCAAGUAUUCGUAAGUGAUUUGAGAAAGUCCAUGCAUGGGAGCAGGACAAAGAGAAAUAAUCUGAUCAUCCCUAAGAGGUUUCAAGACAGGAUAUUUGUUGGCACAUUUGCUGCUUUGGCAUCAACAGAGACAGGAGAUUCCACCACAGCAAGCAGGAAUUGGGGCAGGAAAAUGGUGGGUGCUAACCAGUGGCCAAGGACACUACUUGCAGCACAUUCAUGGAAUAUAUUUGUAGAUUCCGCAAACAAUGAGCGGCGAAUAAUGAGCAAUUGCGUAAAGCUGAGUCCUGGAAGGCUGCCUGUAGGGGGCAGUAUGUGGUCUGGCCUUAAGGACAAACGGAAUUUUCACCGGAGAAGACUGUGGCGGGGGCUUUUCAGGAGGAAUGAAUAGGAAGAGUACAGGAGGCUGUAUAGCAGCAGGUGGCUUUGUUUGGUUGGAAAACACUCCAAGUGAAAAGGCAUUGUGAAGAAUGGAAGAGCUACUGAGAAACCAGCCUAUGGAGUUUGGCUGUCUCUCCUAGUCACAAAUAAGGAGCUGUUACUGGUUUUUGUCAAAAGAACAGGAUGAUCACAUCUGUGCCUUAGGACACUUUAGAUGGGGCAGAACAGGUACAGGGGAUGUGGUGGGGGAAGAAAUGACUCGAUUUCAAACAAAUCAAAUAAA
Long non-coding RNA from Homo sapiens (human), 846 nucleotides. The record is from Ensembl. NCBI's taxonomy places the organism in Eukaryota, Metazoa, Chordata, Mammalia, Primates, Hominidae.